UACUACUUGAUGGGGGCGAAGAUAUUUCAAGCUUUGGAGACAGCCAUUCAGGAGGAAUUGAAAAAUUCCUUUUUGGAGGCCAGAGAAGCUUUAAUGAGUAACUAUGCCAACAUCACUCCAGAAGAGCUUGAAAUCUUUUUGCAGGAGUAAGGAAAUCUGCUGGUAUUCCAUCUGCCUGCCAAAUAAAACUCCAAACCCUCUUUUUUAAGGAAGAUAACAUCAUCCUGAGUCUCUACAUAUUUUCAUAUACAAUGGCCAGCAUCCAAUGAAAAAUUAGGAGAGAAAAAUUAAAAUUCACGCACUCCUCUUUUUUUUGGUGACUGGACUUGUCAUUUUCAUCUACCACCAUUACUUUUCAUGCAUACAGAGGGCUGGACUUACAAAGAAGGACUAUGUUUUGCAUUUAUCUCCUUAAGUACCAUUGGGUUUGGUGACUAUGUACUAGGUAUAAAUCCUUCCCAGAAUUACUCAAAAAUUUACCCAGCAAUAAUAAUACUUUGGUGUACUUUUGGUCUUGCUUGGAUUACUCUUCUGUUUGAUUUAUUUUCAAAAAUAUUGGACAAAUCUUAAGAAAAAAAGCUUGCUUGCGAUAUGCUAUGUCAAACAGAAGAAUGUCAUCUAUGAAGAAAGUUCAUAUUUCUGGCCUUCUCUGGAUUCACAAUCAAAGAGAACAUCUCAACUUUCUUUUUGAAAUAGUGGGACAAGAUGAUCCAAAAGAGGAUACAUGUGGUUUAAAAAUUUACCUGCCAUAUGGG
Molecule: long non-coding RNA, 755 nt
Organism: Prionailurus viverrinus (fishing cat)
Lineage: Eukaryota; Metazoa; Chordata; Mammalia; Carnivora; Felidae
Exons: 4
Source: RefSeq, a predicted model, not a curated record